This is a non-coding RNA of Acanthosepion pharaonis, 101 nucleotides long. The record is from the annotation of a GenBank genome assembly. Lineage: Eukaryota; Metazoa; Mollusca; Cephalopoda; Sepiida; Sepiidae.
AUAUUGAAACACCAGUUCCUGUAUGAUCACCAAAGUUAAGCAAUGUCAAGCCUGGUUAGUACUUUAGUGGGUGACAGCUUAGGAAUACCAGGUACUGUAAG